RNAcentral lists this long non-coding RNA (7267 nucleotides) under Homo sapiens (human). Its description in RNAcentral is "long non-coding RNA NONHSAT008756.2". The record is from RNAcentral. Lineage: Eukaryota; Metazoa; Chordata; Mammalia; Primates; Hominidae.
CUAGUUGAGACAGUCACGAAGCCCCACCCAGUUUCAAAGAAGGGGACAGAGACUCCAUUUCCUGAUGUGUGAGUGGCAAGGUUCUGGAAGAGUAUGUGGAAUGGAAAGCAUUAUUGCAACCAUUUGGGGAAAAUACAACUUGCUGCUGGCAGGAAGGUCAUUUCAGGCAGAGAUCUUCAUUGAUGGUACCUUCAGAAAUGCAUUUUUAGGAAAGAAAGUGGUUUUUACAGACUUGGCAUUGCUAAGGGAAAACAUAAGGUUUUAGAAGUAUUUACUGAGCCAUCUUCACCAAGACUUAUGAGAAACAUUUCUUCGAAGAGAAGAUGCUGAGGAAGAGGAAGAUGACUUUUGAAGUGGACUCCAAGGGGCAGACAGGAGGCUGGGAUGGAUGGCAGCUCACAGCUGGCAAAGGCAGUGGACUAGCAAUCAUGGGUGAAGGCCUACCAAGACUGAUUCUUAGAGGGGGGAGAAUUGACUUUGUGUUCUUAUAGCAAGUGACCAGGAAUAACCAGAUGCUGUGUCCAAGCUGAGUCCUCAAAAACAGUAGUAGGCAGGGGGGGUUGACUCAUGGGUUGGUAGGAAGAAUUUACUGACAACAGUAUAGGUUUGAAAAAGGAAAGUUUUAUUAGAAAGAAAGAACGUGCCUUUCCAGCCCCCCACCCGGACCCUACAGCCACCGAGAUGUUGAUGCCUAAGAAGAACUGGAUUGCCAUUUAUGAACUCCUUUUUAAGGAGGGAGUCAUGGUGGCCAAGAAGGAUGUCCACAUGCCUAAGCACCCGGAGCUGGCAGACAAGAAUGCGCCCAACCUUCGUGUCAUGAAGGCCAUGCAGUCUCUCAAGUCCCGAGGCUACGUGAAGGAAGUUUGCCUGGAGACAUUUCUACUGGUACCUUACCAAUGAGGGUAUCCAGUAUCUCUGUGAUUACCUUCAUCUGCCCUCGGAGAUUGUGCCUGCCACCUUACACCGCAGCUGUCCAGAGACUGGCAGGCCUUGGCCUAAAGUCUGGAGGGUGAGCGACCUGCAAGACUCACAAGAGGGGAAGCCAACAGAGAUACCUACAAACGGAGUGCUGUGCCCCCUGGUGCCAACAAGAAAGCCGAGGCUGGGGCCGGGUCAGCAACCAAAUUCCAGUUCAGAGAUGGAUUUGGUUGUGGACGUGGUCAGCCACCUCAGUAAAAUUGGAGAGGAUUAUUAUGCGAUGAAUAAACUUACAGUCAAAAAAAAAAAAGAAAGAAAGCUGCAGAAGAGUGCAGUGAGGUGCCUCAGCAUGAGAAAAGUAGACAGGGUCUCGCUCUGCCAUCCAGGAGAGAGUGCAGCGGUGUGAUCAUAGCUCACUGUAACUUGUAACUUCUGGACUCAAGCAAUCCUCCCACCUCAGCCUUCCGAGUAGCUUGCCUUGUUCUGAUGCCCAGUCUGGAGUGCAGUGGUGUGAUCUUGGCUCACUGCAACCUCCACCCAGCUGGAGUGAAGUGGCACGAUCUCGGCUCACUGCAACCUCUGUCUCCCGGGUUCAAGCAAUUCUCCUGCCUCAGCCUCCCAGUUUUCUUUUUCUUUCUUUCUUACUUUUUUUUUUCCUCCUAAAGGUUGAGCUUGGCUAAAGGAGUGUUGCUAAUGGUUUCCCAAUUUAGUUUCAAGGGGAUUGGCAGCAGGGUUUUCCAGGCCACAAAGGCUGAAGGGGGACAUACUAUUAGUCUGUCUCACUCCUCCCAGAAACUCAGUCUGGGUUUACUGUAAUUUCAUCUUAGUCUCGUCAAAGGCACUCCAGAUGAGGAGAUUCUGAGCUGGGGUAUUUCUUCCUACCCCUCCCAGACAGAUUGCAAGGUUUUUCCAAUACUGCAUUCUCCCUGGGGCUCUCCCUGGUUGGCGUGGAGAGAAAAGCGCCAGCAGGGGUCAGCAGUGUCCCACAUCUGGCCGGGAGCUGCUUGCCACAUGUGCUGUUUCUUCUGGCACGGCACUGUCAGAGAUACUGGGGAAAUUGGCGAGCACCGUUCCAUUGAGGCGUUAGCAUCAUUAUGAGCAUCGCAGGCUCAAGAUUCCUCUCCCUGAAAGUGGGGUGGGCUGGAUGAGUGGAGGGUGUGUUCUUUAUAAGCACUAUGUGGGGUGUGGGUGUAGAAUCCAGACAUCAGCAAUGCCAACUCACCAUCUGGUUUUCUAUCGGGAGGUUUUGGACCUGGGAUUUCUGGAUUCACCCGGUAUCCAGGCUCUCCCAGAGCGGCACUUUAGCUGGCCAAGGCCUGGAGCAGAGUGUGUGCAGCGCUCCCACGGCCGCCUGCCCGGGCCUGCCCCCGACACAUGCUUAGUGGAAUUCUCCCGUGGCAGCCCAGAGUCUCCGGAACGAAGGUCUCCACAGCCAAAGCCACGCAAGAGGCUCUCCUGCUCUCAUUUCCAGACGCACCCUCAUCCUUGGCCUCUCCCUGCCUCAGUUCUCUUUGACUCCUCCGGUCCUUGUUUUUCUGACCUGGCUUUGGCAAGGCCUGAGCACCUGGCCUGCUUUCCCAGGAGUACAGUUACAGCAGCUGAUCUAGGGAACAGGUGUGGGCUCCGUGUCACAGCUGCUGCUGAGCACAUCUGUACCCACAGUGAGGAGGCUGCAGCUGCAGCAGGGCCUGUCAGUCACUCAUACUCUCCCCGGAGUUGGGCUGGGGGCACUGAAAGGGGCUGGAGUGCAAUGGCACAAUCAUGGCUCACUGCGCCCUCCACCUCCCAGGCUCAAGCCAUCCUCCUAUCUCAGCCUCCUGAGUAGUUGAGACAACAGGCAUGUGCCACCAUGUCUGGCUAAUAUUUUAAUAAAAUUUUUUGUAGAGACAGGUUCUCCAUAUGUUGCCCAGGCUUUGAUUCUUCUAAUGCUCGGUAUUAAGACUCUAUGACUGUGUAUUAUACAUAGAGUUUACAUGUGAGUAAGUUCUGGGUGGAGAGACACUAUUCCUUGCUAGGGCCUUAAGAGUCUGGCUGCAGCUCUGCUAUCACAUGGGCAAAACCAGCUACAUAAUUUACAAGAUCCAGUGCAAAAUAAAAAUGUGACAUUUCUUGUUAAAAAUCAUUGUGAAUUUCAAGAUGGCAACAACAAAGCAUUAAACCAAGCAGGGGGCCUUUCUAAGCUUGAGCCCCCGUGUGACUGCACAGGUCAUAUGCCCAUGAAGCUGGCUCUGCAGAGACUAGCUGACCGUUGGACUGGCUGUGUCCUGGAUUCUUUUAGUUAAUGCAUUCCAGCAUCAAUAGAGUAUCUGCCAGGGUUUUGAGAGUUAAGCUGGUCGGUCCUUAGUGGAUGUUUAAAGUGUUCAGUGUCACCUUCUUUGUUCCCAGACAACUUCCCCAUUUCUGUGUCUUGCUGUAAAAGACCAUAAUGCCUUUUCUUCCCUCCAUGGACUGGAGCUGCCUUUAUCUCCUGGAGCUGGGAAGUUCAGAUCAUUUGUAGAGGGGCCCCUGGUUUCCCCAUAAGACAGAAUGUUAUUCUUUAAUCUGAAUUGGCUGGUAAUCAAAUUCUAGGAGAUAGUUCCUGAUCUUCCCAGUUUUCAGGUGGGUUAACUGAGGACCGGCUUGCCCACACCACUUAGGCUAGAUAGAACAAGUAAUUAAAGCCCAGAAAUAGCUGGCUGAGAUCCAGCCUGUUUAAUGUAAUAAUGCUGAGAAAUGUCAAACGUGGUUUUGUUCCAAUAGGAGUGGAAGGGAUGAAGAGAGACAGGAAGAAAGCACUCUAUGUAGUUUCUGGAGUUGGCUGUAGAAGGACGAAAGGACUCCUCAGGGGCUGCGGAAAGGAAGCCAUCUAUGUGCUGGGCGGUGACUGAGCUGUGCAUGGAACCCUGCGCAAGGGGCUUGGAGGGGCAGUGUAUGAGAGCAGAAUGUGGCAUCUCUUUCUGUUUUAGCUUGCAGGGUACUUCUAGGCGGUUGGUGCUCUCUCCUGGGCCUGGUGGAUGGAAGGGAGCAGGCAGGGAGGGGUGGGGCAGGCCCUGCCUACAGAGCCUGUCAGUAGGGAACCAGUGAGUCACCAGAAGUCCAAUACCUCAGUCCAGAUCCUGGAUGCUGUUGGAUCACGGGAUCUGUCUGAGCAUCAGUUUCCUUUUCUGAAAAGUAGGGAUGAUAACAGCCUAGGACGGUGGGUGAAUCAGUGAGGUAAUGCACAGGAACACGCAUAGUAAAUAGUUUUUGCCAGAGUGGGUGCAGGCUCUGAGAACCACUCCCCAGACCCCCAUGAAAUGCCGGCAGCUCCAGCCACACCCCAGCUCACUUUGGAGGCCUGCUCGAGGCUCACCGCCUCCAGGAAGGCUUCCCCCUGAGCCCACCACUGUCACCCACCCCUGGUGCCCUCUCCGCUUGGCUCCACCAGUACCUAGUGAUAUUGCUCAGGGUGCACACCCUCAGCCGUUACAGGCCUUUCUCCCCUCCCUCAGCACUUAGGUUGUGUUCCCCAGGCAGGGGCUUUGUCUCUCCCAUCAGGCGAGAGCUCCCUCGGGAAUACUCCAGAACACAGCCCCUCGAGUUCUAGGGCUGUAUCAGAAGUCAGUACAUAAAAACAAAGAAUCUGGAUUCUAACCACUUAGAUUCUCCAGAGUCAUAAUGUGUUAGGAAGGAGUGAAUGAGAAAUAAUUUUUUUGCCCCUCUGGUCUCCCAUGUGACUGAGAUUGCCUGAGAUGUGUGUGCAGACUCUCAAAGAAAAAGUUGUAUAAUUGUCAGGCAUUGGAUCUUGUUUUCAUCUUGGUAAACCAAAUCCUGGAGAUGGAAUACAGCUGCUAUCUCAGCAGCUGGUUCCAGCUUGUGAUGUGCCUGUGUCCAGCAGAGCCCACGGCAGCCUUAUGAAAGCCCUCCUCAGUCUGUUUCUAGAAUCUCCUCUGAAUCCAUAAGAAACCGCCCAGAGCUUAGCCCAUCAGCCCUGCUGACAGGCUGGGCCAGUCCAGAUGCUCCACCAAGGCCUGGAUUCUGGCUCUUUCACUCAGUUCACUCAUCUGCCCCUGAGUCAUCCAGAGAAAGGGGUUUGGGGAGAGUCCGGAGCAGACAGCAAAGCAGGGAAUCAAGGAAGCUCUUGACCAACUGGCAGGCAGCCCAAGUCCUGGCAUCCCACGGGAGAGGAGAAGGGCCCCUGCCUUUCCAAACCAAAGGCUCACAUGAGUGAAGGAUGGGCCUGAAAUCCUCACUCUGGAAGCAACUGACCAAGGUCCUGAGCACAUAUUAUGGGAUGACCCCAAAGUUAUGUUAUGUAGCUUGAUUCUCACAACCAUCCCAUGGGGAAGACAUUUUUCUUUUUUCUUUCUUUUGUUUUUGAGAUGGAUUCUCGCUUUGUCACCCUGGUUGGAGUGCAGUGGCACGAUCUCAGCUCACUGCAACCUUCGGCUCCCAGGUUCAAGCAAUUCUCCUGCCUCAGCCUCCAGAGUGGCUGGGAUUACAGGUGCGCACCAUCAUACCCAGCCAAUUUUUGUAUUUUUAGUGGAGAUGGGAUUUCACCCUAUUGGCCAGGCUGUUCUCAAACUACGCCUCCGCCAUCCCGGUGCCUCGUGCCUCUUCCCAGACCAGGAUUCCUACACCGGGCGCUUCUCCCCAGCUGCGGCCACGCCAGGCCGGCCUGGCCCUGAGCCCACAGAGAGCAGCCUCCCCCAGACUGGGAAAGGCUGCAGGUCCUUCUAGAAACUCCUCUCCUAGGGCCUUCCGGGGGAGAGGCUCUCCCAAGUUUGCUGGGGCGGUGAGGGAGUCAGCUGAGGAUGGGGAAGGCCCCUUCAGCUCCCCAUGGAAUAGUCCCAGGACAACCCCGAAAGCAGCCCUCUCCAGCCGGGCUGGAUCCGGAAGAAUUGGCGAGAGACAAGGCACCCAGGGAAAGAAGAAAAAAGCCCAGGAAGGGACUCCAGUCUGCCAGACCCGGGGCAGAAGCCCUUCUCGGACGAGCUUUCACGGAGAAACUCAAAUACCAGGGGCUCCGGAAGGUCGGAAGCCUCCAAGCUGCCCAGGAAAAGACCAAAGAGAUAUAAACUACAAAAGUUCUGGGACCCCCAGGUCUUUGGAGCCUGAUGAGGGGGCAGCUUCGUGGGCUUCCUCUCCAGUCUGCAGCCCAGUGCAGGGCAAGCGCCCCUCUCCCUCUCCGGGGGCCAUUAGCUUCUCCUCAGUCCAUCAGCAGAGUCAGCCAGUCACAGCCACGGUGGCCCCCUUCCAGUACAGGUGAGCUGGGGAGCUAAGUACACUAAAUUUUAAUUACUAAUUAUUAUAUAGUUUAGAAAUGCCCAAAUGCAAAUUAAGUAUCUUCCUGACUAAACUAACUUCCUAUAUUUUUUCCCCUAUGCUAAUGGAAGGAGAAACUCUCACUUAUAUUUUGGGCAUAGAAAAGCUUGUACAUCAUCCCUUACACACCAGGGACCUCUGAGGCAUCAGAGCGGCUGGAGGUGGGGGUAGGGAACCACUAGGAGCUUUAACCUUCAGCAGAAGGCAACUUGUGUAUCUUAAUCUCUGAAAAAUUGAAUGCAAUUUAAUAUUACAGGACUAGGCCUUUGGAGUUCAGGACAAGGAAGUGAAUGGUCCCAAUACACUCUGCACAUGUUUAGGCUUCAUUUAGACUGUUACAUUCAGUUGUGAACACCACGUUUUAAAAGGACAUCGACAUACAAAAACACAUGUAGAGCAAGACUGACACGUUGCUGGGGGAUCAAAAAAGGUGUUAUAGGAUGAUGAAAGGAACUGAAGAAGUUUGCUUUGGAAAGGAAGGCUUAGAGAGGGUCUGAGCACUGUUUUUGUAUUUUUAGUAGAGACGGGGUUUCACUGUGUUAGCCAGGAUGGUUUCAAUCUCCUGACCUCGCGAUCUGCCCGCCUCAGCCUCCCAAAGUGCCAGGAUUACAGGCGUGAGCCAUUGCACCCAACCCAUUUGCCAAUUUUUUAUAAAGCACUUACUGUGUUCCAGGUGUUAUUCUAGAAGCUUGGAAUACAUUUGUGGACAAAAUAGGCAAAGACUUCUACACUUGUGGGCCCUUUAUGAUGUAGCCUAGAGCUGUGCAGUGUACAACCUGUGCAGCUGUACGUGAUCUACAUGGUGGCCCUGGAGAAGCCCCAGCUCUGGAAUAUGUCUCCCACCCUAAGGAGCAGGAGCAGAGCUUUGGCCUCAUGACAUUCCUGGGACUAUAAGCAACAGCAGUCUGUGGGCCACCCCCCUUCGCCCUGAGUGCUUGAAUAGAUGAGGAAGGUGAUAAACUUUCCCCUGUAGUUUUCCUAGAGAAUUACCCCCUAUACCCAAUACCUACCUGUCCUUGACUUGGCAGCCUCUUAGCAGAUUUUUAGAGACUCCACUCUCCAACCU